RNAcentral lists this ribosomal RNA (458 nucleotides) under uncultured bacterium. RNAcentral's name for it is "partial 16S ribosomal RNA". It matches the Rfam family "Bacterial small subunit ribosomal RNA", at positions 28 to 507 of the family's 1533-position model. The record is from RNAcentral.
GACGAACGCUGGCGGCGUGCUUCAUACAUGCAAGUCGAACGAGAAGCUGACUUCGUUCAGUGUAAAGUGGCGGACGGGUGCGUAAUAUGUAGGAAAUCUGCCUUUAGCUGUGGGACAACAGAGGGAACCUUCUGCUAAUACUCCAUCUGAGCGUAGCUGUAAUGCUAUUCUUUAAAUCUCCGGUGCCUAAAGAUGAGCCUGCAUCUGAUUAGCUAGUUGGUAGUGUAAUGGAUAACCGAGUCGCCGAUCAGUAGCUGGUUUGAGGAGAUGAUCAGCGACAAUGGGACUGAGACACGGCCAAUACACCUACGGGAGGGAGCAGUAGGGAAUUGUGCGAAAGGGGCGAAAGCCUGAAGCAGCAACGCCGCGUGAACGAUUAAGACCAUCGGGGUGUAAAGUUCUGUGAGUGGAGACGAAACUUGACGGUACCCACAGAGGAAGCACCGGCUAACUCCGUG